CGGGGGGAGCAAGCGUUGUUCGGAUUUACUGGGCGUAAAGGGCGCGUAGGCGGCCAGCGCAAGUCAGUUGUGAAAUCUCCGGGCUUAACUCGGAAAGGUCAACUGAUACUGCGCGACUAGAGUGCAGAAGGGGCAACUGGAAUUCUCGGUGUAGCGGUGAAAUGCGUAGAUAUCGAGAGGAACACCUGCGGCGAAGGCGGGUUGCUGGGCUGACACUGACGCUGAUGCGCGAAAGCCAGGGGAGCGAACGGGAUUAGAUACCCCGGUAGCCCUGGCCUUAAACGAUGGAUGCUUGGUGUCUGGAGUUUUAUAGUCUCCGGGUGCCGUAGCUAACGCGUUAAGCAUCCCGCCUGGGGAGUACGGUCGCAAGACUG
RNAcentral lists this ribosomal RNA (374 nucleotides) under uncultured organism. Its description in RNAcentral is "bacterial SSU rRNA". It matches the Rfam family "Bacterial small subunit ribosomal RNA", at positions 526 to 896 of the family's 1533-position model. The record is from RNAcentral.